UGUUCAGUGGUGUAGCGGUUUGAGUAUUGGAACUACAAUUCUAGAGACCAGGGUUCAAUUCCCAGUUGGAAAC
Phrynosoma platyrhinos (Desert horned lizard) is the source of this 73-nucleotide non-coding RNA. Lineage: Eukaryota; Metazoa; Chordata; Lepidosauria; Squamata; Phrynosomatidae. The record is from the annotation of a GenBank genome assembly.